This 301-nucleotide ribosomal RNA is filed under the name uncultured bacterium. Its description in RNAcentral is "partial 16S ribosomal RNA". It matches the Rfam family "Bacterial small subunit ribosomal RNA", at positions 509 to 807 of the family's 1533-position model. The record is from RNAcentral.
CAGCCGCCGCGGGAAUACGAAGGUCCCAAGCGUUGUUCGGAAUCACUGGGCGUAAAGGGAGCGUAGGCGGCGUGGUAAGUCUGCUGUGAAAGCCCUGGGCUCAACCUGGGAAUUGCAGUGGAUACUGGGCAACUAGAGUAAGGUAGAGGAUAGUGGAAUUUCCGGUGUAGCAGUGAAAUGCGUAGAGAUCGGAAGGAACACCGAUGGCGAAGGCAAUCCCCUGGGCCUGCACUGACGCUCAUGCACGAAAGCGUGGGGAGCAAACAGGAUUAGAUACCCCGGUAGUCCCUGUCUCUUAUAC